AAAUUAGUGAAUAAGGGAGAAAUCAGUCCGAAUCAACCAUGAACGACUCCAAAAAUUGAAGAUUCAGAAUUCUAAUCUUUCUUUCACGCAUGUUUUCUCAAAUUGUUGUUUCAAAUCCGGACUUUGAAGUCCGGAUUUCGGUUAUAAAUAGCCAACUCUCCAUUUCCAUGAGGACAGAACUGAACUGUAGAGGUAAAACAGAGAGAUCUCAAAAAAAAAAAAAAAAAAAAAAAAAGGGAAAAGAUUUUUGAAAAAGGAAGAAAAACUUAGGGGGAUUUGGGAGGAAAACAGUGAGAAAAAAAAAAAGGAAUCGAGUGAAGGCAAAAGGGAGGAAAAUCAGUGAAGUCAAGAGGGGAAACAAAAAGGGUCGGAAAUUUGGGAUCUUUUCAGGGGUUUUCGAGUGAAAAAAAAGAGGCUCCGAAUCCGCGGAAGAAGGUUGAAAAAAUCCAUGAGAAAAUUAAGGAAAAUCCGCAAGAAAGUAUGAAAAACGAGUAAAAAAAGGGGCAGAGAAAGAGAGGGGUCUCAAAAUUGGUAACUUUCUUUUCUGAUUUUAUUCUUAAUCGAGUUUCUCGAGUCCGAGUUAGCCACCGAAUCUUGACGUGAAAGCCCCUGCUUUGAUGCAACAAAAAAGGUGCGAAUCCUUUCCCCAUUCCUUUUUGUUUUCUCUCCCCCAUCUGUCACGAUUUUUUGGGAGUGUGUGAUUUUGUUAUGUCUUUGUUGUUUUUCUGUGACUUUAUGGAUAAGAAAUUAUUUUGGUUCUAAAAAAAAUUGUUUUGCCUAUAGAUAUGCAAGUAUGAAAAUAUGUGAUUUCUCUUUGGCUUCAAGUUUAGUUGUGUUGUUGCUGGUCGUUAUUUGCGGAAUGGAUUCAUGAAUUUGAUUCCAUUUUGAUUUCCCUUUUCUUUCAAAAUAUGGUCAUCUCGUGAUUAAGAUAUAUUGACGUAUUCUGUUCUAGGUUAAUUCGAGUAAAAUGUGUGUUUUUCGAGUCCGAGUUAUGUCGAAUUCUAUUCCCGUCUAAUUCUAUGGUAUCUAGUUUUUGCAAUUUGGUACUCGGUUGAGUCCUUACUCUGGGUUUGUUGUUGCUGGUACUUGGUUGAGUCCGCUGGCUGAUUCUGGAUGUGGAUGCGAAGUAAAAUACUUUGAUAUGUUUGCUUUUGUUCAUGUAAAGUGGAGUGGGUAAAUGUUAACGAUUUGCAUACUCCCUCUAGCGAACAAAAUAACAAGGAACCAGUUGGUUUGCAAUAGUGCAAUUUAAUUCUUAACCAACUAAAUUAGUAGCCUAACUUUUGCUCCUGUUUGCAUUCAUACGGUCUUUUAGUCUUAAUUAUGUAAAAUAUGAAAAGUUCACCUCGAUUUAUUGUCAUUUGGUAUAUAUUAUGUCAUUUCUAAUUGUGUGGAGAUUGUCCCUUUCUUACUGUCUGCCCCUAAGCUCAAAUAUGAGAAUAUUGAUGGCGGUGUGGGUAUACUAUUUUAUAAUCCCGAUUCUUGACUUGAUUGAAACAGUUAUGGAAGGUCAUGUGUUUGCCAUGGGAAAUUCGCCUUACUUUGUUGCUUUUACUUUUCCUGCUCAAAAUACUGUAGGAUUUGUUCAUUAAGAUUGCUUCUCAUAAUGUGCAUCUAGGCAUCUCUUGCCGUUUUGUCAAAUGUUAAGGGUGUAAUUGAGCUUUGUGUUGCUUCAGUCGGUCACUAUAGGGGCUGUUUUGUCUUUAAAAAAUGUAUUAACAUGAUUUGGAGAAUAUUGGUGUCUUAGAAAUAUACGGAAGAGUGUACAGUGAUGUUAAGUUUAUUAUAAGCUUUUGUUGAGUGUUUUAAAAAUUCUUCCAAGUCGGUGUGACCUCUUUAUUUGUUUGCUUGAAAGGUACUCAUUUGUUCCAGUUUAAGGAUAAAUAUGUUUUGUAAAGUUAGUGGUUGCAUUCAUGUUCUCGUUUAGGAAGCUUGUUCUGGUAGAAUACUAGAGAUUGAGGCCCCAUUUGUUUUAAGUUUAUCUUUCAAAACUAAACAACUUGCUGAGGUUACCCUCGUAAUAAUUUAUUAACUACUCCCUCCAUCCCAUUUUACACGUCCUAAAUUUCCUAAUAUGGUGUUCCAUUUUACUUGUUCUUUUUUACUUAUCAAGACAAGACAAUUUUUUUUUUCAUGUUUUACCCUUUGCAUUAAUUAUUUUUUCUUUAAAUUAAAAUAUAAACAUCAUUUAAUAGGUUUACUGUAGUAAAUCUUUCAAUAGGUAUUCAUUUUCUACAAAGUGCGAAUAUGGAUAGUUAUGUUUACGGAUCGUUUGUGUAUCUUGGUUGAACAAUAAGAGGGCAUUCUUUUAUAGGCAUUGGGUAUUCUGGCAAACCUGAAAACAACUUGCAUAUCUAUAAUUCUCGGCUUCGUUUACUUGGGAUACAUGUCCAUUGCUAAUAUAUUUCUAUCCAUUUAAACUCAUCAUGUUCACUUUCAAUUUUGCGUGUGUAUCUUUAUUGGUUACUAAUCCUUACCCUUUUAUUUUUACAUAUGAACUACAUAUGAACUCGGGAGUUGGGAGUAUCGCAACGGAACUCGUCUUGACCCAACUAUUGGGUCAAUAGCUAGUAGGAUCGCAGAGCCUCGGGACUGCGUAUACUUGAAAACUCAAGCCCAUUAGGAGUCUAGUAUCUCUUAGUCCCUUCUCUUUAUUUAAUAUUCAUGUUAAGUUACUUUUGUUAAAACUUGAGACGAUAAUUAGUUAUUGUUGGUUAUUGAAAUUUUAUUGCUUUAUUUCGUUUAUAUUGCUUUAUAAUUUGCGGGUUUCCUUUGGAAUAAGAUAACAUCAUCACCCUUUUCGCAAUCACCACAUGAUUAGACAAAUGGAUUUUCUUAAAUAGAAGGGAUUUUAGUAAUUGAGAUAGUUGGCUAACCUCUCAUAAUUAAUGGUUGUACUCAAAAAUAUUUUCUUUAAUAAAAUAAAUAAGGUCGCAACCCCAACACUUUUUUUUCAAAACAAAAGAGAAGUUUUGAUAUGAUCAUACAAAUUGUUCGUACUUGUGUUUCUACGGAACCACUUAUCAAUUCCGGCUCACUUGAGUAUAUUAAAUGGUCUGAAUAUUUUAUCACAUUUUUAUUCACCCUUUUACACUAUCUCUAAAUAGAUUUUUUUGAAGUAAAAUCCCAAACGAGAUUAAAACACGAGGUACAUGUGGACACUUUAUCAUAUGCAAAAUAUUGAUUCUACUACUAUUUUUGUCCAUUCUUAACUACCCCUUUUAAAAUAUACUUACAAAUAAAUGAAUAAUUGUGUGAUAAGGGGUCGUUUGGUAGAGUGCAUUAGAAAACUAAUGCAUGCAUUAGUUUAAUAUGUAUUAUUAGUAUAUUAUUUGGUUCAUUUUUUAUUCUAUGUAUAACUAAUGCAAGUAUUAGUUAUACACUCUAUUGUGUAUUGUGGAGAGCAUUAUUAAUGUCACUCCUUUCCUAUGUAUUAGUAAUACAAAUGAAUUCAAUGCAUGUAUUAGCUUGAUUAAUAACGUAACUACCCCUCCAAUCCUUUUAAAAUAUUUUUCAGUUUCUUCUCUGUCUUUACCGAUGCAAUAACACACUUAUUUGAGAUGGCAAAAUUCAACUCAGAAGCGAUCUUAUCUAUGUGCUUGGUGAAGAGUUCAACUACUCAUACUAUUGCCUUGUUCCUAUUUUCAAAUUUAAACACAAACUUGAUAUCUGGGAACAUCUAGGAACGAUUUUUUUUUAUUUUUUUUUUUAAAAAUGUUGUAACCCAAAAGCUGGCUCUAAUCCAUGGAAAACAUUAUGAUGGCAAUUUUCUUCGAGAAACUUGAAGCAAUGCUAAUAGGCAACAAUUAUUUACAUUCAUUUUGGGGGGAAAAGAAAGAGAAGUUUUCAAUAAGAAGUGUACAAGAUUAAAGAAUAUAAAGGGUAUUUUUUAAAUAAAUAUUUUUUAAUAGAAAGGGAAAAGGCACAAAUAUACCACUGAACUAUCAGAAAUGACCCAUUUAUGUCAUCUGUUAUAAGUUGGACUCAUUCAUGCAAUCACUAUUACAAAAUCGGCCCAUCCAUGCCAUUACUUUUUAACAGAUGAUUUUUAAAAAUAGGCGUGCCACGUGGCAGCUUAUUAGAGGACCACGUCAUUUUUAUUUUAAUUUUUCAUUUUAAAAAAAAAAAAACUAUCCAUUAAAAAGAAUCCACGGAACUUUUUGAUCCAUUGAAAAUUAAUUUGAUGUAUGCUUUUAAAAUUUGAUUAAUUUUUCAUGAAUAUAUUCUUAAAACAUUCUCGUUCGAUUCGUUUUUUUUGUCAUUUUUGACAUAUUAAGAUUGUUUUCAUAUUUUACCUUUAAUAUUAAUUAUUUUUUUCUUCAAAUUAAUUUCAAAUACAAUAGUAAAACUUUUCAUUUUGCCAACUCUACGUAUACUAUAUAUGUCGGCAUGUUGUCGUCUUCCUGUUUUUGCAAUGAUAAAUGAUGAUGCAUAAAGUGUUACGUACAAAUGUUGAAUGCUGAUCAGGGGCAUCUCAACACUUUAGGAGAAAAGUCAGCCGCCUAAGACCCCAAAAAUUGAGGGGCCUAUUUUUGUUUAGUAAUAAUAAAAUACAAAUUUUAAGAAAUAUAUUAAAUACUACUUAUAGAAAAAAGAAAAAUUUUAUAUAAAAAAUAAAACGCAAGGCCUCCGUUUGAUUUUUGCCUUAGGCCAUAAAUUUGCUUGAGCCGCCCCUGAUGCUGAUGAUGUCAUUCUAUGCUUAAUAAAAAAAUAAAAAAAUAAAAAGUUACUUACAUUCGGCUGACAAAAUAUUUCAUGUAUGCUAAAACAUACUAUAUGCUUAAUUAGAAUAGCAUUUAGUUAUAAAUUUUAGUAGUAGAUUUUUUAAAAAAAAAUUCUUUAAAUAUUUGUUUGAUCAUGAAAAAUUAAUCAAAUUUUAAAAGUAUAGAUCAAAUUAAUUUUUAAUGGAUCAAAAAAUUGGGUGGAUUCUUUUUAAUGGAUCAAAAAAAAAAAUUUUAAAAAAUUAAUUUAAAAAAAAACGGCGUGGCCCUCUAAUAAGCUGUCACGUGGUAAGACUGUUUUUAAAAACCGACUGUUAAAAAGUAAUGGUAUGGAUGAGCCAGUUUUGUAACGGCGACGACAUAAAUGAGCCCAACUUUUAACGGAUGACAUAAAUGAGUCAUUUCUGAUAGUUCAAUGGCAUAUUUGAGUCUUUUCCCUAAUAGAAAUUAUAUAAGAUAUAUUCUUUUUAAUACAUUAAACCAAACAGUGUAUAACAAAUAAUGCCAGCAUAACUAAUGCAAGCAUAACUAAUACCAGCAUUACUAAUGCAAUCAUUAUUAAUACACCAUAUUCAGCAUUAUUCUUAUACACUCUACCAAACGACCCCUUAGUGUGUAAGUCAAUUUCUACUCAAAAUUAAUGCAUUAAUAUAUUCCAAUAUUUUAUAUACUUUUACCCUUUUCCGAGAAAUGCAUUUUGCAUACACUUGUUUUUGAAAUAAAUAAUUUUCCCACUGUACAUGAUAAUUCAUAAAUAAAUAAUUUUUACAUAUUUCUAAACGAUAUUUAAAUUUCUUCUUUACACACUUAUAUAUUAUGGAAAUUUUAUAUUCUUGUAAAAAUUAUAGAACUUUAAGUUUUUAGUUUAACAAAUGCUAAUGUUAACCUUUUCACUUCGCUCUCAUUUUUUUUUAAAAAAUAUGCAUGUGUACUUUGACAAUAAAUUACGUUAUUUUCGUAUAUUAUAAGAAUGUGUUUAUGUACCUUGUAUGUUUUCUUUAAGUUUGAUAAACAUGUGCGUAGUUACCAUCAUUCUAGCAAAUAACAAAGUAAUCAUUUUCCUAAACUGAGUGUAAGGUCUAUCUUCGGAUAGACUCUGAGGGGUGUCUAACAUCUUCCCCUCGAGUAAUCAAAACUCUUACUCACAAUUUCAAAAUAUUUUCGACAGACUAAAAUAGAGUUUUACAUAAAAAAUAGUUUUUCCUAAUUUUCCUAAAAAGUUAGGUGGCGACUCUAAAAAAUGAAUUUUCAAAACCCAAGAGUCAUGACAACGCCACCACAUGUUGUGUGCUAUUUCAACUGGCUCGAAAUAGGGCGCGACUAUGACAAUAAUCACAAGUAAGAAUCCAAAAUCAUAACUGAAUUAAUCAACCAAAAUCAAUACAAGAGAAUUCCAAGAUCAAAAUCAAAUCUCGGAAUCAAAAUAUGUUUGUGAGUAUCAAGAGUGUGUUAGUUCUAUUAAAAAACAUAUAAGAAGUAGUUAUAAUGCAUGAGGAAACCCUAAAACCAAAGCCCAAAUGAAAUACAAGAAAAAAAGGUCAGUGGCCACAUAUGGUCUCCACAUGCGGCCUAGCCUUGGCGCAUGUGGUACAUGCGGCCUGAGGCUGAGCGCACGUGGUGACUUCAUGUGCCCACCAAAAAUUCCCACUGGUUUGCUUUGAGGAUUUUGGACUUCUGACAGAUGUUUUGCCCACAUGUGCUACAUGCGGUUCGUAUGUUGACUUAGCAAGUGCCGAAAGAUAUUUUUUUAGCUCUUCUUCAAUUCCCGCAUAUGUUUUAGUCACGAAAAAUUCAGAAAGUGUCACGAACACCCAUUAUUGAUCACAUAAGUAGCCAAAAAUAUCCUUUUUCCUCUUUUUCACGAACUUAACAUCUAAAACCUAGUAUCCUGCAAAACAUACCCAAAACGCAUUAUAUCUAACGAAACAACCUUAGAAACUUGCAUAUUUUCCUUGUUUUAAGCAUCGAAAGUACUAUAUUUCUAUAGCACAUCAUGUCCUUCAUUUAUUCUCAAAAUAAAUGUACAAAAUAGCAUUAGUGGUUAUAGAGUACACCAGUUUUCAUAUUAUUAUGAAGUACCUAUGGCGAUAUCUGUUUCCUUUCAACAAAUUUUCUUUACAUUCUACACCUUGGGGUGUCUCAGAAGUCCAAGUUCCAUCACCCUACACCUUGCCAAAUAUUGUGAGUUCAAGUAACUGUAAGUUUUUGCUUCUUACAGCUUGAUGUUUAAUAUCAUUUCAAAUUAUAUUGAAAUUAAUUGGUUAUACUGAGUGAAUAAUUAAUAAGCAUAGAAUACACAGAUCAAAAAAAACCUUUCUCCUUUUAUAGCCUUAUAUCAGGAAGAUAUUUGUCCUCUUAUUACCCAAGGUCUGUAUUACUGUUCUAAUCUUAUAGUUCAAUUGUAUAUAACAGUAGUUGAUGGUUAUCUUUUGUUUUAUUGAAAAGAAGUCGAAACAAGAGUUUCAUGAAAAUACUAAGGGUGGUUUGCACUUCUGGCCAUAUUUUUUACUGGUCUUUAAUUUUCAUUCUUCAAGACAAUAAGUUUAUAUGUUUGCAUCAUAAUAAUCUACAAGUUAUUUGUCCUGCUCUUUUAGAGAACUUAUGGCCCCAUUGGGAUAAGUUGGAUUUCUAAAGGCAAGGUUAAAUAUUAGCCUAUUUAAGACAAACUAUGCAUUAAAUGAAUUACUAAUAAUCACAAGAUCGGGAUAGUGGUCAGAACUUCAAAUAAUGUGUUUCCUUAUCCUUAUGUUUUCAAGAGAAGGUAUUGUUGGUUUUAAAUUGUCGAACAUUUUAUGGAAAAAUUUUGUGAUGAAUAUUGUAACUUAAUUAAAAUAAAGUGGUAAGGAAAAAAAUGUCAUACAAUAAUGAGAGCCUGUUUGGGAUUACUGUUAGAAAACUGUUUAUUUGAGAAACAUUUUUAUAAAAUAGCUUUUCAGAAAAGUGCUUUUAAUAAAAACAAAUUAUGUUUGGUAAAUUCAUUUGAAAAGUGUUUUUGAUAAAUAUAUUAUGUUUGGAUAAUCUUUUUUAAGAGGUGUUUUUGAGAGACAAAUGACCAAAACGGACAUGUAUCAAUAGACUUUUACUAUUAAUUAAAUCAUUUUAUAGAGAAAAAUUGUUGUAAUUAUCUAUUAUAAUAUUUUUAAUUAUUUAUUUAAAAUAGUAUUUUUAAUUAUUUAUUUAAAAUUAAAAAUUCAAGAAAAAUUUACGAGUAUUGUCAAAAUACCAUUUGAUCUUGCAACAACAUUAUUCAUCUAUCAUUUAUUAUCAUUAAUACUAAAAAAUAAAGAGAUAUAUUCUUCGAUCGUCAUCAUUAAUGAUAUGUUUGAAUUUAUUUAAUGAAAAUGAGUGAAAAAUAAAAUAAUAAUAUAUAAAUAAUAGAAGGAAAUAAAGAAUUAUGAUGUAAAUAUGAAGUAUAAAAUUCUAAAAUCAAAUUUUAACCAAACUUAUAAGAUAUGCUAAUUAAUUAAUAAGGGAUAUAUAUGUGUGUGUGUGUGUGUGUGUGUGUGUGUGUGUGUUUAUAUAAGUGAUACAGGUACUUUUGUCAUGAGAAAAAUAAUUUCCUAUACUUCUACUUCUGUUUUUUUAAAAAAACAAAAAAUUUCUUCUUCUUUUCAAAAGCGGAAUAACUGCUUCUGCUUCUUUUUAAAAGUACUUUUGCAAGUUCACUAAACACUCUUUUUUCAAAAAAGUAUUUUUUUCUCAAAAAAAAUUUUUUUCUCAAAAAACGUUUUUUCCUCAAAAAAGCAUUUUUUGUGAAAAAAGCAAUCCCAAACAGGUUAUAAUAAGCAUUCCUAAUGUAACAAUUCAUUUGUCAAAAUUGAAUAUGGUCUAUUUGGAUAGUCACCUGGUAAUUGAAAUUGGUGUAAUUACUAGGAUAAUAAUUUUUAGUCAAGUAAUUACACAACCUAGUAAUUAUAAUAACUUGUUUGUUUGCCACAAUGUAAUUAUAGUGUAAUUACAAGUGUAUUAUUUGGUUGCACAAGUGUAAUCACAUGAUUAUCUUAAAUGUUUAAAAUAAAUAAAUAUUAAUUAUCUAUAAUGAGCCUUUAGGUCAAUUUCUCUGCUUUCAUGUAUUUUUUGUGUAUUUUGUAUUUUGUGCUUUUUGAUAGUGGUUACAGGUUAUUUAUGACUUAAUUGGGACCGUCGGUUUGGUUCUCAUGCAGUUCGUUUGGGUUCUAAGUCCAUUUCCCUAUUUAAGAGCUUUUUAAGUUAAGAAUUUGAUCUUUGACCAAAACUUCUAGUGAACGUCAUCGAAUGACAAAGAAGCUAACAAAAUGGAGAAGUCUGAGUACCCAAAUGAAACACCUAUUCAGCCACAAGAGAGACCACCACAACCAUUCCCUCAUAAGCUUAAAAAAGUCAAAGAGGAUGCUUGUUUUAAGAAGUUCUUUGACAUAUUUAGAGAACUUCACAUUAACCUUCUUUUAUUAUAUAUUUUGCAGGGAAUGCCUAAGUACUCUAAGUACUUGAAAGAUGUGGUGAAAAAUAAGAUGAAGCUUGGUGACAACGAGAUAAUCGAAUUUAUGAAAGAGUGCAGUUCUGUGGUAAUGAGAAAGAUGCCCCAAGAGCUCAAGAACCCUAUAAGUUUCACCCUCCUUAUACAAAUUAGUGAAAGUGAUGUGGUCCAUGCUUUGAGUGAUUUGGUGGAAAGCAUAAAUUUGAUUCCCCCAUACGUGUUUAAAACUCUAGAUUUGGUAAAAUGGAGGCCCUGUUCAGCUGUGCUCCAAAUUGCAGACAAAAUAAUAGUGGUUCCUAGAGAAAUCAUAGAUGAUGUUCUCAUUAAAAUUGGUGAGUUCAUUAUUUGUGCUGAAUUUAUUAUUUUUGAUUAUGAUGUAGAUGACACGGUGCCAAUCAUAUUAGGACAUCCAUUCUUGGCCACUAGAUAAGCACUAAUAGAUGUAAGAAAGAGCACUCUCAAAAUGACAUUGAAUAAUAAAAAGGCGGUCUUCAAAGUGUACAAAGCACUCAAUAUAUCCUCACACUACAAAUAUUUGUGCAUGAUCAUAGCUAUAGAAGUAGAUAAGUGCAGGGUGGAGGAGCACUAAUAUAUGUGAGAGAGGGCACUCUCAAAAUAAGAUUGAAUAAUAAAGAGGUGGUCUUCAAAUUGUAUAAAACACUCAAUACAUCCUCACACUACAAAGAUCUACACAUGAUCAUAGCAAUGGAAGUAGAUGAGUAUAGGAUGGAGGAGUGCAAACCUCUAAUUACCUCUCUGAACUCUCUCAUGGAGUAGCCCAAGUUAACAAUGAAGCCUAAAAUUGAGAAACUUGAAGGGGAGCAUGAACAGGUAAGUGUAGAAAGAGUGGCAGAUCUUGAGAGUAGGCACUCAAGAGGUCUGAAAAUAAUAAGAAGAUGGGCUUCGAGUAGGAAGAAAAGGAUAAGAGAUUGUAGUUAAGAGUUGUAAGUUUAGUCAUGUCGCGAUAAUAAAUCAAACACUGAUUAGGAGGUAACCCAAGUUAAGGUAGUCAUUUUUUCUUUAAUUUUCAUUAAUAUCACAUUUGGUUUUAUUUUUGUUUUAUGUAAAUAGGUUGAAGAAAAGUUUUAGUACUAGAGAUCUUAGCUAGGAAGCACGACAAAAACUGAGUGUGGGGUCCUUCAGAUCUCUUUGAUGAACAUGAUGCUACUAGCUAGGCCUAGAGGCCUCAGGGAUAGGGAUGGCAAUGGUGCGGUACGGGUGUGGUGUGGUGCGGGUUUUAAUAUAUGAGGGGCAGUGCGGGUUUUAAGUUAUGCGGUGCGGUGCGGGUGCAGGGCGGGUUAAAGUAAGUUUUUUUUUAAAUGGUGCAAUGCGGUGCGGGUUGCGGGUAUAUGCGGGUUUAAAUUAAAAAAAAAUAAAAAAUUAGUAUUGUUCUUGUGAAUAUGCCUAAAAUUAUGUGUUCUUUACUUAAAUUUUAUAAUACUUAAAACGACAUACAUAACACUACAAAUAAAUAAUUUUAUAGUAGCUUUUUUAAUAUCGCUAUUCAUUUGAAUAAAAAUAUGAUAUUUUAUCAUUACUUGUAUACGUUAUACUUUUUGAUAAUUUUUUAGUGAAAAGUGAUAUAAUAGAAAUUAAUUAUUAUUUUCUAGUUGUAGAUUUGAAAAUAUUAUGAUUUUCAAUGGAGUUAUAAAUUUUUCAAAAAAAAUAAAAAUAAAAACAUGGGGAGGUGCGAUGCGGUUAUGCGCAGGUAUGAAUGUGAGGCAGGUUUAUGCGGAUUUAAAUAUGAUGUGGUGCGGUAUGGUUUUAAAACUUACGGAUUUAGAAAAAAAUUACACCGCACCCGCACCGCACCACACCAUUGCCAUCCCUAUCAGGGAGUAUUUCUAUCCUUACUUUUAAUUUAUACUUUGCAGAUAAAGUGUGACUUUAAGUAUGGGGAGGGGAAUAUUUUGAUUGUUUAGGGUGAAGUAUUGCUAUAAGAUGUCUAGGUUCUGUUUAAAUUUUAAAAAAUUACAAAAAUAUUUUAUCUUUAUUUAUUUUUAGCUUUAUUAUUUGGUCUAUUUGGUAGAAGCACACUUCACCCACCUUUCAUUUUUUUGGGUCUUCUCUGAGAGAGUGCCCUUUGAAUCCAGUAUUAUUUUUUAUUUUUAGGAGUAAUUUUAAAAUUUGUGUCAUUAGGAAUAGAUAAAGAUACUCUUGUUAGGUUCUAUACAUGGUUACAUGAUGCAAGUUUGUUUUAAAUAUGCAAGCAUGUGUAAAUAAGUUGAAUGACUUCGUUGAGACACCUAGGUUUAUUUAUUUGACUCUUGUAUGAUGUUGGAUUAAUUUUAGAUUCAUGCUAUUGCUUGAUUUAGAAUCUAUAGAGAUCUUUAUUGAUUUAAACAUAUGUAAUGUGUGAGUGAGGUUUUUAUCAUAUUCCUUGUUGCAUAGUGAUGUCUAGAACUUGCCUGGUGUAUUUUCAAAAUGAAAUAAAGAUUGUUGAGUUUAGGAGAUGAAAUAGGCAUUUCUUUGAUAGUCAUAGUUUGCACUUGCUUUAUCAACCCUUUAUGUAUGGUCAUAGUUAGCCUAUUGAGCCUUUAGCCUAUUCUUUGGUAAAUUUAUAUGUAGCUUAUUCCUUUUAUUUUAAUUUAUUAUUAUUUGAUCCAAUACUCCUAAGAGCUUUAGUUGAGGAAUUAAGAUGAUAAGGAGUGUAAAAUUGAAAAAGGAAAAAGUAAAGUUAAAGCCCCAAGAAAAUAGCUAUUGGUGUUUUGAAAAAGUUUGUGUUGUUGGUAGGGAGUGAUGUAAUGAAAAGAAAAAAAUAAGUUGAUCAAAAGAAAGUGAAUCAUGUGUUGAUGGAAAAUACUCCCUAUUAAAUAUGUGUGAGCUAGCUUAAGGAGAUGGAACAAAACAAAAGAGAGAUGGGAAUAUAAAAGUGGUGAAAAUGGUGUAUUAAAGCGCUUAGGGAAGAUAAUCACUAUUACUAGCUAGAAUAGUUCCUACCUAUCCCUUAACCUACAUUACAACCCUUUAAGUCCUGUUUGAUCUUGACCUUUAAGAUUCUGAUAUUAGUGGAAAACUACACUAAGGGCAAGCUUAUGGUUCAUCUUAUGUGAUAUGUGGAUUCUUUAUGAGAGUGAGUGGAAUUCGAUUUCUACACCCAGUCUUGUGAUAAACUACAUAUAUGUUAGUGAAUAUGGGUGACUCUCUUCUGGUAAUGGCACAUGUUUGAUGAUGGAAAAGUGACUUGCAUGAUCUCUUUGUUGAGUAAUAUUCUUGAGUUUUCUAAUUUGGUAGAGUCAAUUCUUGAGGCUAGGAAGUCUUGAAGUAGUGUUCAUGGGUUUUCAAUUGUAAUAUGACAUGCUUAAUAUGGAACUUGCUCUUCAUAUAGCCAUUUUAGUUCUAGCUUGAUACGACUCUAUCUAAUCCUUGACUUUCGAGGAUGAAAGUUAUUUUAGUAAUGAAUGUUUUAGUGACCCUCUAGGUCAUUUUCUCUAUUUUUGUGCAUAUUUUUCAUUCCAUUCUUUCCAUAAUGAUUACAGGUUAUUUUAAACUUUUUGGGACCAUUAGUUGGUUCUCAAGGUAGCUCAUUUGGGUUGUAAGCUCAUUUUUUUGUUUUGGAGUUUUUAAAGUUGAGGAAUUAGUCUUUAGUUGAAACUUCCAGUAAACAACCUUAUAUGAUAAUUCUGAGAGUUCCAUUAGCUCUAGAAUGUUGAUUUAGGAUAAGGAUAUCCUUGAUCCGGGUCUCGAGGAUUCAAGGCUCGUUUAGGAUACUAAUUAGAAAUUGGUGAAAAUGAAACCUUUGGGGGGUCCCACUUUUUGUCAAAACAAACCUGGAUGGAAAUUUUGAUGGUCCCCGUGAGUUCAAAAUAUCAAAUUUGGUAGGUAUCAUAGCCUUUUUGGAUGCACGGGGUUUUAAAUUAAUUUUGAGAAUCUGGUCGAAGUCCAUUCAAACAGUUAAAUUUUUAAGUUUUUGGUAGCUUGUGCAGCAGCUUAAGCCGCUUAAGCAACUGGGGUAUCUCUUUAUCAGCACCUCUUCCCCGAUGUACCUUCCACUUUAAAGGUUAUUUACCUCUUUAGUGGUUUAGAUGCUCAGUGGAUGCUUAAGCCUCAAUGUUGGGUAUAUGAUUUAGAAUUUGUCUCUCUCACUUAUUUUAGCUCAUUUCUCCUCUAUUGUUGUGAUCUUAAGAUUAGGAAUUAAUGGGAUUUCAUCCCAUUGAACUCAUGUAUGGUACUUGAAUGGUCCUUGUCCUUUUUCCCAUUAUGGUCUGCAUUACUUUUCCUCCUCUAAAUUAAAUUCUCAAUUUUGGGGAUUUUGAUCAUUAGACUUGACAAACUAAUUUGAACCCCAAUUGAGAAUCCAUAUGUGUUCAAUUUUUCAGCACACAUUCCUUGUCCUUUGGGGGACCUCAUGGUGGAUUCAAUUUUGAAUUCCAUUAGUGGGUCUAUGGGCUAUUUUUUGACCUAAUUCUCUUCGUAGAGCUUAGUAUUGCAUUAUAAACUUAUUUUACUCGUAUUAAUGGAUAGAUUAUAAAUUUGAUAGAGUGAAGAUAUUCAGAGAUCGAGGAGUAGAGAUAAGCAGCUCUUAGAUUGUUCAGCAAUAAGGUAGGCUAUGGUCUACUUUUCUCUAUGAGAUUGUGUAUCAUAUAGAUUGCAUGCUAGUUGGGGUUUAUAGGAUGGUUUUAAGGCUAGUUAUAUCAUUAAGAAUGUUUUCCUUUUCUUGUAAUCUAAUUUUGUGCUAUAGAGUCUAAGGUCUUAAAUCUCCUCUAAUACUCAUUUGUUCGUAUUUUAGAUCAUGUCUCCCUGAAGAUCUGAUGCACGUGAAAGUCUUCUGUCACGUCUGAGGAUAAUGUCUAUGGAGCUCAUUCUACUGAUAGAGUAAAUACCUAGUCUAGGGCCCCUGCUCCUGAUUUUUCUCAUGGGGUUCCACCGGUUCCCACUGUUCCUUCUCCGAUUGGUGACACUCAUGCUCAGUUAUCUCAGGGAGAUAUUUCUAAUGCAGAAUUUCAUUGCUCUAUUCAUUUUUUGACUCAGUUAGUGACCUCUUAGUCUCUCCAGUCUGAGCACGAGGGUGUUGUUGCUCCUUCUCAAGCCACUAGAGUUGGCCAGUUCAUGAGGCUUAAACCUUCGAUUUUUACUAGUUCUAAGGUUAAGGAGGAUCCUUAAGGGUUCAUUGACGAGAUGGAAUAGAUUUUUGAGUAAUGAAUACUUCUAACUCUGAAGGUGUGGAGUUUGUCACAUAUCAGCUAAAAGAUAUGGCAUAUCAGUGGUAUGAGGAGUGGGAUCAGUUAAGAGGUAAUGAUGUUGAGGUAGCUUUGUGGGAUGACCUUUCUAAUGACUUUCUUGACUGUCUAUUUCCUCAGGGGUUAAGGGAAUCAAAGACUAAAGAGUUUGUGAAUUUGAGGGAAGGCAGGAUGACUGUUAAAAAGUAUGCCUUGAAUUUCACAAGCUAUUCGUUAUGCUCCUGAGUUAGUAUCUUCCAUAAGGGUGAGGAUGAUGAAGUUUGCUUUUGGGUUAUACCAUGACUUAGUGUUGGAAAGCAAGGCCUCCUUGUUGAACAAGGACAUGGAUAUUUCUAGGUUGGUGGUAUAUGUGCAACAAGUAAAGGAUGAGAAGAAAAAGCAGACAGAAAUUGGGGAGAGGUAGAGUAUGAAGUUUUAGUACUCAAAACAGGGUGGAGGUCAGAAAAAUAGUGAUGGUGAUGGUAGGCAGUGGUCUAAGAAGAAGACUUGAGGAAAUCCUAGUUCUUAUUCUACGUCUAGUGCUCUAUAUCCUAAGUCAUUCAGUAAUCGUCGUUUUUAAGAUAAUGAUGGUCCUAGGGCAUAGGGUGCCCAAUCUCAGGCUAGUGGAGCUCAGCCAUCCCCAUCUUAUCCCCCUUGCCAUUUCUAUGGGCAGAUGUAUCAUGAAUUUUGUGAGGAGGGGAGGAAUAAGUGCUUUAAGUGUGGUCAGUUAGGCCACCUGCUGCGGGAUUGUCCAUUAGUUAGGUUUGCUAUUGUGGCUAAUAAGUUUUUGGUUGUCACGUCUUCAGCUCCUGCACCAAAGGGUGCUGCUUCUGGCUCCGAUACUAGUCCUAAUCGCCUUUAUGCUCUUACCACUCGCCAGGAAUCUGAGGUAUCUUUAGAUAUUAUCACUGGUACGUUACACCUGUUUUCUCGUAAUAUGUAAUUUUUGCUUGAUCUGAGGUCUACUCUUUAUUAUGUGACCCCAUAUGUGGCUGUUUAUUUUGGUUUUGGUCCUGAGAGUAUUUUGGACCCUUUUUUUAUGUCCACCCUGGUAGCUGAUUCUGUGGUUGGUAGAAGAGUUUGAAGGGGUUGUGUGGUAUCUAUUUGUGGUAGGGAGACCAUAGUAGACUUAAUAGAAUUGGAUAUAGUCGAUUUUGAAUAGUUGAAUAGUUGCUUACUUGCUAAAAUUCACAAGCAUUACGGAAGUAAAUGGGGGGAUUUGAAAUCAAUUGUAAGUAGUAACUGAACUUGAAUUCUUUCGAGGUUGUAAACAAUAGAGGACAUACACUAGGACUGCAUUUCCCCUAGAUUCUUAACUCUAUAAAUUUCUCGUGUUCAAUCCACCUAUUCUGUUGCUCUGCAUGCAAGGUCGAUAAUCUAUGUAUUAUCAACCGUCUUGUGAACGUGUUGAUAAAUCUCACCUUUUACCUUGUGAGUCUUAGGGCAUCACCUUAUUGAUCCUUAUCUAUGACUUCAGUUCAAUUUUCACCUUUUACGUCUUAAGUUGAUUAGAUAAGAUAAUGGAAUAAUAAGAUGGACGUGAAUGUUAAAUUAUUAUCUUAAUCCUUUUUUCUUAAUCUCAAACUCCUUUGUGAUGACGUUAUCGAAUACAAGCAAUCUUCAAGCUUCAAUAGUUGCUCUGAGGUCAAUUAAUGUGAAGAAGAUUAAGAUACACACAGUUAUGUUAGAAUAAAUGAAUCUCCCACUUUCUUUACAUAGCUAAUCCGCCAGGGUUCCCAUAAUCCUAAUUAGGGAAAUCAGCAUCUCAUUUUCAUGCAAUAAUCUAUGAUAAUCAAUAAAGAAUUUCUGUAAUUAAUUGAACUAGAAUAAGAAGAAUAAAAUCCAAAGUCUUCAAUUGAAUAAUAACCCAAAAAUCUUAAGAAUACCUUAAAGUAAUGUAAAAGUAUGUAAAAUAAUGUUAAGGAACGUCUAAGAGAGUAACCUUAUAAAAGAUAAACCCUAGAGUAUUUAUAGUAUCUCAAAAUAUCCCAGAAAUCCUAAUUAAAAUGGAAAAAAGAAAAGUAAUAUCGGUAGACGAUACGACUCGGUCGUCCACUUGUAAGGUCUUUUGAUGAGUUGUACAGUGCCUCUCUUAUGUUCUCCAGUGUUUGAUCUUCUACGGCUUUAACUUUCUAUUAUCUUUAUGACUCAUGCUCACGAGUCGUACCAUGAAAAUAAGACUCAUGGCCUUCACUCAUUACCGCCUGGGACUUAUACCUUUAAUGCUCUGAACACUGGUCUGCUUACAGUUUACUAAUACGAGUUAUACUUAGACUUCUGACUUGUCUUUCUCUAAGACAUCAACUCUGAAUCCGACUUUAGUUUCUAUUCUCUUAAUGCCUGCUUCUUCAGACUUGUAUCCACAUCUUACGAUCAGUAUGCUCCAGUCGUAUCUUAUUAUCACUUGUUUGUUUUGUUUGAAUUUUGUCACUAUUAUGCUUACGAUUCAGCCUACGAGCUGUAUGAUACGUUGAGAACUAUGAAGGUGACUUGUAUCAUCUGAAACUUUGUCUUUUUUAGGUAUUUUUCUUCAAAUUUUAUUCCAACACUAUUAUUGACCUGUUUUACCUGUAAAAAUUCACAAAAGCACAUCAUAUCUACUAAAAUAACCUAAGUACAAGCAUAAAUUCUUUGGUUUAAGCAUUGAAAGUGUCGUGUUUUCAGGACGCAUUAAGGGGGAUAUUCCUAAGACUACUUUUUAUACCUGGUAAGGCCAUUAUGAGUUCUUGAUCAUGUCUUUUGGUUUGACUAAUACCUUGACGGUAUUUAUGGAUCUUAUGAACUAAAUAUUCAAUCAGUAUCUAAACUUAUUUGUCAUUGUGUUUAUUGAUGGCAUCUUGGUGUAUUUUAAGAUAAGGAAGAUCAUGGCGAUCAUCUCCGAGUAGUAUUGCUGACCCUUCAGGAUCAGUGAUUGUAUGCUAAAUUCUUUAAGUAUGAGUUUUGGUUGAAUGUUGUGACCUAUCUGGGUCAUGUUGUUUAUAGUGAGGCGAUCACGAUAGAUCUACAGAAAGUUGAGGCAAUUAAUAAGUGACCCAGACCCAACACUCCAACCGACAUUCAGAGCUUCUUGGGUUUAACCAGAUAUUAUAGGAGGUUUGUGGAAAGUUUCUCUUUUAUUGCUGCCUCAUUGACUAAGUUGAGUAAAAAAAAGGUAAAUUUCUUGUAGUUGGAUGCUUAUGAGGGUAGUUUUGGGAAGUUAAAGGAUAAGUUGACUUCGACUCUAAUUUUGACUCUACCCGAGGGUAUCGAGGGUUUUAUUGUUUGCUAUAAAGUAUCUCGUGUGGGACUGGGCAGUGUGUUGAUGUAACAUAGUAAGGUUGUGGUCUACAUUUAUAGACAGUUCAAAGCUCAUGAGAAAAAUUACCCAACGCAUGACUUAGAACUAUUGGAUGUGGUUUUUGCUUUAAAGAUUUAGCAUCAUUAUGUGUAUAAGGUUCAUGCUAAUAUCUAUUCAGAUCAUAAGUGCUUGCAAUCUGUAUUUACCCAAAAAAAGUUGAAUCUCAGGCAAAGGAGGUGGCUUGAUUGCUUAAAGGCUACUAUAUGAGUCUCCAUUAUCAUUCAAGUAAAGCUAAUGUAGUUGCUGAUGCUCUUAGUAGGUUAUCCAUGGGAAGCUUAACUCAUGUGGAUGAGGAGAACCAAGAAUUUGUGAAGGGUAUUCACUGGUUGGCUAAUCUUGGAGUUCGUCUCUUGGACUCUAAGGAUGGAGGUGUGAUGGUGCAAAAGGUAGUGAGUCAUCUCUUGGUGCUGAGGUAAAAGAGAAGCAGGUUUUGGAUCCCAUAUUGAUGUGGAUUAAGGGUGACGUGGGCCA
This 18144-nucleotide long non-coding RNA is filed under the name Capsicum annuum. RNAcentral's name for it is "long non-coding RNA (CANN_LNC016491)". The record is from RNAcentral. Lineage: Eukaryota; Viridiplantae; Streptophyta; Magnoliopsida; Solanales; Solanaceae.